GACGAACGCUGGCGGCGUGCUUAACACAUGCAAGUCGAGCGACGCUCUUCCUUCGGGGAGAUGACGGAGCGGCGAACGGGUGAGUAACACGUGGGCAACCUGCCCCUAGCUCUGGGACAACACCGGGAAACCGGUGCUAAUACCGGAUACGACAUCGAGCGGCAUCUCUCGAUGUGGAAAGUUUUUUCGGCUAGGGAUGGGCCCGCGGCCUAUCAGCUUGUUGGUGGGGUAAUGGCCCACCAAGGCGACGACGGGUAGCCGGCCUGAGAGGGCGACCGGCCACACUGGGACUGAGACACGGCCCAGACUCCUACGGGAGGCAGCAGUGGGGAAGAUUGCGCAAUGGGCGAAAGCCUGACGCAGCGACGCCGCGUGAGGGAUGACGGCCUUCGGGUUGUAAACCUCUUUCAGCAGGGACGAAUUCAGACGGUACCUGCAGAAGAAGCACCGGCCAACUACGUG
This 462-nucleotide ribosomal RNA is filed under the name uncultured bacterium. Its description in RNAcentral is "partial 16S ribosomal RNA". It matches the Rfam family "Bacterial small subunit ribosomal RNA", at positions 28 to 507 of the family's 1533-position model. The record is from RNAcentral.